GAUCCUCCCACCCUUUGUGUACCUACCUCUGUUGCUUUGGCGGGCCGCGGUCCUCCGCGGCCGCCCCCCUCCCCGGGGGGUGGCCAGCGCCCGCCAGAGGACCAUCAAACUCCAGUCAGUAAACGAUGCAGUCUGAAAAACAUUUAAUAAACUAAAACUUUCAACAACGGAUCUCUUGGUUCUGGCAUCGAUGAAGAACGCAGCGAAAUGCGAUAAGUAAUGUGAAUUGCAGAAUUCAGUGAAUCAUCGAAUCUUUGAACGCACAUUGCGCCCUUUGGUAUUCCGAAGGGCAUGCCUGUUCGAGCGUCAUUACAACCCUCAAGCUCUGCUUGGUAUUGGGCACCGUCCUUUGCGGGCGCGCCUCAAAGACCUCGGCGGUGGCGUCUUGCCUCAAGCGUAGUAGAACAUACAUCUCGCUUCGGAGCGCAGGGCGUCGCCCGCCGGACGAACCUUCUGAACUUUUCUCAAGGUUGACCUCGGAUCAGGUAGGGAUACCCGCUGAACUUAAGCAUAUCAAUAAGCGGAGG
Molecule: ribosomal RNA, 527 nt
Filed under: Botryosphaeria dothidea
Lineage: Eukaryota; Fungi; Ascomycota; Dothideomycetes; Botryosphaeriales; Botryosphaeriaceae
Description: eukaryotic LSU rRNA
Rfam family: 5.8S ribosomal RNA (bases 156-309)
Source: RNAcentral